UUAAGCGACCAAGCGUACACGGUGGAUGCCCUGGCAGUCAGAGGCGAUGAAGGACGUGCUAAUCUGCGAUAAGCGCCGGUAAGGUGAUAUGAACCGUUAUAACCGGCGAUUUCCGAAUGGGGAAACCCAGUGUGAUUCGUCACACUAUCAUUAACUGAAUCCAUAGGUUAAUGAGGCGAACCGGGGGAACUGAAACAUCUAAGUACCCCGAGGAAAAGAAAUCAACCGAGAUUCCCCCAGUAGCGGCGAGCGAACGGGGAGGAGCCCAGAGUCUGAAUCAGCAUGUGUGUUAGUGGAAGCGUCUGGAAAGGCGCGCGAUACAGGGUGACAGCCCCGUACACAAAAGCGCACAUGUUGUGAGCUCGAUGAGUAGGGCGGGACACGUGGUAUCCUGUCUGAAUAUGGGGGGACCAUCCUCCAAGGCUAAAUACUCCUGACUGACCGAUAGUGAACCAGUACCGUGAGGGAAAGGCGAAAAGAACCCCGGCGAGGGGAGUGAAACAGAACCUGAAACCGUGUACGUACAAGCAGUGGGAGCACAGGUUUACCUGUGUGACUGCGUACCUUUUGUAUAAUGGGUCAGCGACUUAUAUUCUGUAGCAAGGUUAACCGCAUAGGGGAGCCGAAGGGAAACCGAGUCUUAACCGGGCGUUAAGUUGCAGGGUAUAGACCCGAAACCCGGUGAUCUAGCCAUGGGCAGGUUGAAGGUUGGGUAACACUAACUGGAGGACCGAACCGACUAAUGUUGAAAAAUUAGCGGAUGACCUGUGGCUGGGGGUGAAAGGCCAAUCAAACCGGGAGAUAGCUGGUUCUCCCCGAAAGCUAUUUAGGUAGCGCCUCGUGAACUCAUCUCCGGGGGUAGAGCACUGUUUCGGCUAGGGGGCCAUCCCGGCUUACCAACCCGAUGCAAACUGCGAAUACCGGAGAAUGUUAUCACGGGAGACACACGGCGGGUGCUAACGUCCGUCGUGAAGAGGGAAACAACCCAGACCGCCAGCUAAGGUCCCAAAGUCAUGGUUAAGUGGGAAACGAUGUGGGAAGGCCCAGACAGCCAGGAUGUUGGCUUAGAAGCAGCCAUCAUUUAAAGAAAGCGUAAUAGCUCACUGGUCGAGUCGGCCUGCGCGGAAGAUGUAACGGGGCUAAACCAUGCACCGAAGCUGCGGCAGCGAACGUAUCACUUAAAACGAUUCAGAAGCUUACGAUUGACGGAGCGAAGCGACGUCAAAGCGUAUACAAAGUCGAGUCGGUUUAAGGAUACGUUCGUUGGGUAGGGGAGCGUUCUGUAAGCCUGCGAAGGUGGCCUGUGAGGGUUGCUGGAGGUAUCAGAAGUGCGAAUGCUGACAUAAGUAACGAUAAAGCGGGUGAAAAGCCCGCUCGCCGGAAGACCAAGGGUUCCUGUCCAACGUUAAUCGGGGCAGGGUGAGUCGACCCCUAAGGCGAGGCCGAAAGGCGUAGUCGAUGGGAAACGGGUUAAUAUUCCCGUACUUGGUGUUACUGCGAAGGGGGGACGGAGAAGGCUAUGUUGGCCGGGCGACGGUUGUCCCGGUUUAAGCGUGUAGGCUGACUUUCCAGGCAAAUCCGGAGAGUCAAGGCUGAGGCGUGAUGACGAGGCACUACGGUGCUGAAGCAACAAAUGCCCUGCUUCCAGGAAAAGCCUCUAAGCAUCAGGUAACAUCAAAUCGUACCCCAAACCGACACAGGUGGUCAGGUAGAGAAUACCAAGGCGCUUGAGAGAACUCGGGUGAAGGAACUAGGCAAAAUGGUGCCGUAACUUCGGGAGAAGGCACGCUGACACGUAGGUGAAGUGAUUUACUCAUGGAGCUGAAGUCAGUCGAAGAUACCAGCUGGCUGCAACUGUUUAUUAAAAACACAGCACUGUGCAAACACGAAAGUGGACGUAUACGGUGUGACGCCUGCCCGGUGCCGGAAGGUUAAUUGAUGGGGUCAGCGCAAGCGAAGCUCCUGAUCGAAGCCCCGGUAAACGGCGGCCGUAACUAUAACGGUCCUAAGGUAGCGAAAUUCCUUGUCGGGUAAGUUCCGACCUGCACGAAUGGCGUAAUGAUGGCCAGGCUGUCUCCACCCGAGACUCAGUGAAAUUGAACUCGCUGUGAAGAUGCAGUGUACCCGCGGCAAGACGGAAAGACCCCGUGAACCUUUACUAUAGCUUGACACUGAACAUUGAGCCUUGAUGUGUAGGAUAGGUGGGAGGCUUUGAAGCGUGGACGCCAGUCUGCGUGGAGCCGACCUUGAAAUACCACCCUUUAAUGUUUGAUGUUCUAACGUGGACCCGUGAUCCGGGUUGCGGACAGUGUCUGGUGGGUAGUUUGACUGGGGCGGUCUCCUCCUAAAGAGUAACGGAGGAGCACGAAGGUUGGCUAAUCCUGGUCGGACAUCAGGAGGUUAGUGCAAUGGCAUAAGCCAGCUUGACUGCGAGCGUGACGGCGCGAGCAGGUGCGAAAGCAGGUCAUAGUGAUCCGGUGGUUCUGAAUGGAAGGGCCAUCGCUCAACGGAUAAAAGGUACUCCGGGGAUAACAGGCUGAUACCGCCCAAGAGUUCAUAUCGACGGCGGUGUUUGGCACCUCGAUGUCGGCUCAUCACAUCCUGGGGCUGAAGUAGGUCCCAAGGGUAUGGCUGUUCGCCAUUUAAAGUGGUACGCGAGCUGGGUUUAGAACGUCGUGAGACAGUUCGGUCCCUAUCUGCCGUGGGCGCUGGAGAAUUGAGGGGGGCUGCUCCUAGUACGAGAGGACCGGAGUGGACGCAUCACUGGUGUUCGGGUUGUCAUGCCAAUGGCACUGCCCGGUAGCUAAAUGCGGAAGAGAUAAGUGCUGAAAGCAUCUAAGCACGAAACUUGCCCCGAGAUGAGUUCUCCCUGAGACUAUAAGUCUCCUGAAGGAACGUUAAAGACGAUGACGUUGAUAGGCCGGGUGUGUAAGCGCAGCGAUGCGUUGAGCUAACCGGUACUAAUGAACCGUGAGGCUUAACCUU
RNAcentral lists this ribosomal RNA (2985 nucleotides) under Salmonella enterica subsp. salamae. RNAcentral describes it as "23S ribosomal RNA". It matches the Rfam family "Bacterial large subunit ribosomal RNA". Lineage: Bacteria; Pseudomonadati; Pseudomonadota; Gammaproteobacteria; Enterobacterales; Enterobacteriaceae. The record is from RNAcentral.